GACGAACGCUGGCGGCGUGCUUAACACAUGCAAGUCGAACGGUGAAGCGCCUUCCUUUUUGGUGGGUGUGGAUGAGUGGCGAACGGGUGAGUAACACGUGAGUAACCUGCCCCCUUCUUCUGGAUAACCGCAUGAAAGUGUGGCUAAUACGGGAUAUUCUGGGUCUGUCGCAUGAUGGGUCUGGGAAAGAUAUUGUUUCGGUGGGGGAUGGGCUCGCGGCCUAUCAGCUUGUUGGUGGGGUGAUGGCCUACCAAGGCGGUGACGGGUAGCCGGCCUGAGAGGGUGGACGGUCACACUGGGACUGAGACACGGCCCAUACUCCUACGGGAGGCAGCAGUGGGGAAUAUUGCACAAUGAGAGCAAGCCUGAUGCAGCGACGCCGCGUGAGGGAUGGAGCCCUUCGGGUUGUGAACCUCUUUCGCCAGUGAAGCAGGCCUGCCUCGUUUGUGGGUGGGUUGACGGUAGCUGGAUAAGAAGCGCCGGCUAACUACGUG
RNAcentral lists this ribosomal RNA (494 nucleotides) under uncultured bacterium. RNAcentral's name for it is "partial 16S ribosomal RNA". It matches the Rfam family "Bacterial small subunit ribosomal RNA", at positions 28 to 507 of the family's 1533-position model. The record is from RNAcentral.